AACGAACGCUGGCGGCAUGCCUAACACAUGCAAGUCGAACGAGACCUUCGGGUCUAGUGGCGCACGGGUGCGUAACGCGUGGGAACCUGCCCUUAGGUUCGGAAUAACUCCCCGAAAGGGGUGCUAAUACCGGAUAAUGUCUUCGGACCAAAGAUUUAUCGCCUUUGGAUGGGCCCGCGUUGGAUUAGCUAGUUGGUAGGGUAAAAGCCUACCAAGGCGACGAUCCAUAGCUGGUCUGAGAGGAUGAUCAGCCACACUGGGACUGAGACACGGCCCAGACUCCUACGGGAGGCAGCAGUGGGGAAUAUUGGACAAUGGGCGAAAGCCUGAUCAAGCAAUGCCGCGUGAGUGAUGAAGGCCUUAGGGUUGUAAAGCUCUUUUAACCGGGAUGAUAAUGACAGUACCGGGAGAAUAAGCUCCGGCUAACUCCGUG
RNAcentral lists this ribosomal RNA (433 nucleotides) under uncultured bacterium. RNAcentral describes it as "partial 16S ribosomal RNA". It matches the Rfam family "Bacterial small subunit ribosomal RNA", at positions 29 to 507 of the family's 1533-position model. The record is from RNAcentral.